UCGUCACACUAUCAUUAACUGAAUCCAUAGGUUAAUGAGGCGAACCGGGGGAACUGAAACAUCUAAGUACCCCGAGGAAAAGAAAUCAACCGAGAUUCCCCCAGUAGCGGCGAGCGAACGGGGAGGAGCCCAGAGCCUGAAUCAGCAUGUGUGUUAGUGGAAGCGUCUGGAAAGGCGCGCGAUACAGGGUGACAGCCCCGUACACAAAAGCGCAUGUGCUGUGAGCUCGAUGAGUAGGGCGGGACACGUGGUAUCCUGUCUGAAUAUGGGGGGACCAUCCUCCAAGGCUAAAUACUCCUGACUGACCGAUAGUGAACCAGUACCGUGAGGGAAAGGCGAAAAGAACCCCGGCGAGGGGAGUGAAAAAGAACCUGAAACCGUGUACGUACAAGCAGUGGGAGCCCCACCACCAAAGCAUUUGCUGUACCGCGUUGACGGAGCGAAGCGACGUCAAACCGAUAAAACAGCAGUGUAAAGUGAGCCGCAGGGCGCUUUGCGCGACAGCGCAAAGGCAGGCGGUUUCGCGUAGCGA
Molecule: ribosomal RNA, 532 nt
Filed under: Salmonella enterica subsp. enterica serovar Enteritidis
Lineage: Bacteria; Pseudomonadati; Pseudomonadota; Gammaproteobacteria; Enterobacterales; Enterobacteriaceae
Description: partial 23S ribosomal RNA
Rfam family: Bacterial large subunit ribosomal RNA (bases 1-387)
Source: RNAcentral